RNAcentral lists this transfer RNA (78 nucleotides) under Candidatus Wolfebacteria bacterium GW2011_GWB1_47_1. Its description in RNAcentral is "tRNA-Ile". It matches the Rfam family "tRNA". From Rfam's summary of the family: Transfer RNA (tRNA) molecules are approximately 80 nucleotides in length. Their secondary structure includes four short double-helical elements and three loops (D, anti-codon, and T loops). The record is from RNAcentral. Lineage: Bacteria; Candidatus Wolfeibacteriota.
CGGAGUGUAGCGCAGCCCGGUAGCGCAUCGUAUGGAUGAUCCCAGCGAAGGUCGGUGGUUCGAACCCACUCACUCCGA